This 6033-nucleotide long non-coding RNA is filed under the name Ananas comosus (pineapple). RNAcentral's name for it is "long non-coding RNA (ACOM_LNC001449)". Lineage: Eukaryota; Viridiplantae; Streptophyta; Magnoliopsida; Poales; Bromeliaceae. The record is from RNAcentral.
UUGAUAAGAAAAGCAGAUUAAAAUUUUAUGGAUAUAAAAUUUUUAGAGUUAAUUUCGCACAGAUCUAUACAAAUAUAGUGAAUUACAAAUAAAUCUCUACAAAGUUUAACUUUCAUAUGUUAUUGUCCUUACAAAAGUCCUAAUAUUUUCAAAUAUGUCCCUCUGUUUUGUUAUCGUUAAAGCGCUGUUUAUUUAUAAGUGAAAUGACUUUUUUGUCAUCACAAAUAUGUCCCCCCAAAAGUCCCAACUGUUAAUUGAAGAAGGAUAAAAAAAUCAAUUCACCUUAUUAACUAAGGAGGGUUAAGUAUUUUAUUUAUGGUUAACUAAUUUUUUUAACGGAUCUUAACGGCAGGAAUAUAUUUGCAAACAUCAGGACUUUUGUAGGGACAACAUAUAAAAGUUGAACUUUGUAAGGAUAUAUUUGCAGGAAUCUGUAUAAAAUUAACCCAAUUUUUUAUAUCCAUAUAUAAAAAUGUAUGAAUAGGAUUGAUAAAUUGUGAUGAAAUUAAGGGUGUGUUUGGUUCGCAUUAUGAAAGAUUACUAGGAAUAAAAGAUAUUCGAGAAUCUUAUUUCUAUUCAUCCUAUUACUAAGAAUGUGGAAUUCCUGUGUUUGGUUCGCACGGUAAUAUUAAUUAGCCAUGUUAUUUAAUAUUACAAAAAAUAUACAAUUAAUUAAUUAAUUAAUUAAUUUAAUUUUAUAUAAUAUUAUCAAAAGUUUCAACAUCUUUUUAGAAAAAAGGGAGAGAGAGUAUAAGUUAGAGAGAGAGAGCAUAAUUAAAAAAAUAGAAAGAAAAAUAUAGUCGAAAUUAGAGGGAGUGAGAGAGUUGAAAUUUUAGAAAGAGAAAGAGAGAGAAAGCUUAGUUUAGAGAGAGAAAAAAAAGUUGAAUUUUAGAGAGAAAAAUAAGUUUAGAGAGAGAUAUAAGGUUAGAGUGUAAAGAAAAAUAAUAUCAAUUAGCCGGCGCAUAAAAAAAAAGAAAGAAAUUAGACAUAUUAUGAUUACCCCAAUCCAUUAAUAUGAGGAUACCCACCCUCCCUCAAAGGAAUGAGAUUAGUACUUUGGGGUGAAUCUUAUUUCCAAGUUAAUCCAAUAUUACCAACUAGAUUACUUAGUGCGUUUAACGAAACACCGUCAUAUUUUUUUUAUUCCCAUUGGAUUAUUAGGAAUCUUUAAAAGAUAGCGCGAACCAAACGCAUCCUAAGGGUAAACUUUAGAUACCACCCAUGUGGUUUCUCACUUUCUCACUUUAGUGUACUCAUAGGUUUAAAGUGUAUCAAGUUAGUGUCUUAUUAUUUUAAUUUUAAUCUUUUCGUCAGCUUCUCCCUUAGUAUUUUAUUAAAUUAUAUACAGAAAAUUUCAGAUACCCCAUCUAGGCUUAUCGAAUAUUCACUUUAGUACUCUUUAGUUUUAACUUUGUCACUGAUUUAACAAAAAAAAUUAGUAAAAUCUAAAAAAAAAAAAAAAAAUUACAGAAUACUAAAUUGAUAUAUAUUCAACCGUAAAAUUCUAAAGUUAGAAAAUAUAAAACUACAGUGGUUAUAUUUAAAAUUUUUUCUAAAAUUAAUAUAAUAAAAAGCAACCAAAUACAUUUUUUUAGGUGUAAAGGGUGCAGUUCUCUGUCAACAACUUCAGGUUGUACAGUUGUACCCUCUUCUUUUUUUUUCAAAAAAAAAUUAUGAUACAUGCUGACGUGGCACAUUGUCAACCGUUCUUUUCCAGCCAUCACAUCAUUUUAUCUGUAUGCGAAAAAAAUAGAAAAAGGUUGUACCCAUCAUUAUUAUGGUACAACUUUUUAUGUUUGUGAAUGUGGUUUGAGAUGAGAAUAAGAUUCCCCCUUUUGACCCAGAUGCUUCUUUAAAAAAAAAAAUAAUAAUAAUAAUAAUAAAAAUUAUUAGGGGCAAUAAUGUAAAAAAAAAUGUUUGGAGACUUUUUUUUUUUUUUUUAAUGCUCUGAUAUUAGCUUAAUUGUAAGUAAAAUAGUGUAAUACUUGAUAUAAUAUAUUUUUAUUCAUUCUUUCUAAUUAUUAUAAUUUAUUAUUUUAUUCAUGAAUCACGUAAUUCUUCUCGAAAGUUAUAUUAAUUAUCUAAAUAGGUUUUUUUUGUCUCAGCAUAUUAAUCAUCAGAGAACGUAAAAUAUAUAAUACUUUAACUUUAUAUAAAAAAACUCUUAAUUUGUGACUUUUUAGCCGUCGAAUCGUCUAAAUCCAUACAACAUUUCGCGAUGUGUUUCGCUGAGUCUCUUUUACUAAAAUUGUACAAAUGUUGACAUAAUCCGACAGCUAAAAAAUUACAAGCACAUUGAGUUCGUGUAUUUUUAAAAGUAGAGGAGAUCAACUCCUAACUUAGUUGAUGAAUAACAUGAAUUAAAACAAAUAAAUUAAGAUUAGGAAUGUGUCAUUUAAAAGAGCAUAUAUAAUAAUGAUAGGGUCCUGUCCCAAAUUAUAUAUAGUUGAGGGGGUCUUCCACACAUGAAGAGUUGGAUUUCAUAAUGUUAUUGCCACAUGAUACACAAAUUAAAUAAGUAGGUGCAUGAUUAGGAAAUUUCACUAAAUUAGUUAUAUUUCAUUCUCAUCUAGGCAAUUAAAAAAAAAAAAAAGAGAAAAGAAACUUGUGUUUUUCGAAAAAAAAAAAAAUAGUCUUCUAGUUUCUAGAAGCUGCCUAGUCUUUUUUAGAAGCAAACUUUUUUAAUUUGGUGCAUCAUAAUCACAAUAAAAUUUUUCAAAGGAAAUGAGGUAAUCAUGGUCUCAUAUUCUUAAUAAUUAAGAUUAAGAAAGUGAUAGGAACUAUACCAACAAACCAAUCCAUCCACAUGCACCACUCAAAAUUGAAAAUUGUUUAAGACUCAAUCUUAAUAAUCAGCUUAUUUUAAGCAAGCUUAAUUUUGAACUUAAUUUAAUUAUGAUCUUACUUUUCGUUAAAGGAUUAGAACCUAAUCCGAAAACUUAAACUAAUUGGUUGGAAUAAUCUCUAUCUUUCUCUCUCUAUAUAUAUAAUAAAUAGAGUUUUACUUUGUAUUCAAUAUGAGACUAUUAUUCUUAACACUCCUGACACGUGUUAGGUGCUACUAACACGCUGUAUGAAUUUAAUGCAAUCGUAUAAAAUUCGCAUAUCAGAUUAUAACUAAUGUGCAGUGUAAUUCGUUACAUAUUGUUCAGUUUAGAUACGACACCCUAACUUUUUAGGGAGUCACAGCUAAGACUCAUCUCACACUUUUGGCUAAUAAUUGGCACUAAUACCAAAUACGACGCCCCAACUUUUCAGAAGGUUAUUCAUCCUAUGACUACUUUCGUCCUAACAUGUUUAACUCUCUUAAGCUCUUAGCCUUAGUCAUCACCCAAAAUGCUUAAGUCAAGUUAAUAGUAUUACAUCUAUUAUAUUAUAUAUAUAGAACUAUCUGAAGUCUCACAUUAGAUGCUAUGCACGACUAAUAUAUGAUAUAAAUAAUUUCACGCGCUAAACACCACUAACACACGAUUACUCAACCGGCCAAAAAUUAGAAAGUAUGAAAAGCUCAAAUCCAAUUUUGCCACAGCAUGUGAUAUGGACACACUUAAUAUAGUUAAAUAAAAUUUAAAAUAUCUUAAUAGUUUUUUUUUAAAAAAAAGUUAGACAAUAUAUAUAUUUUGUAGGUUUCAUAAUUUAUGACGUCCACCUUAUGUGAUUAUUAUUAUUAUUAUUUUUGCUUAUGUGAGUGUUUUUUUUUUUUUUUUUUUUUUUGUGGAGAGAGUUUCUCUCGCACAAUUAAAGAGAAAAGUUACACCCGAAAAAUAAUCGAAUUGGAACAAAAAAAAUUAUUUUAAUAACUUCAUAAUUAGUUGAAUAUCCCAAUGAAUAACAACACUACUUGUUUUGUUAUUGUCGAAUACUAUAUAUAUUUAAUCCGAUUUUGAUCCGAAUCCGAGCUUUUUCGAACCCUAACCAUUUUUGUAGAGUCUCGUUCACGGGUCUAAUUAAUGGAUUAGAUCGUAGUGUGUACACUAUCCAUGUCUUGUUUGCUACGCGACUUAAAUUUUUCCCUAUCCAUGAUUCAACUAUUUCAGAAUAUUAAAUCAUUCUCCUUAUCGCCGUUUGGAUGUUUGAAUACGUUAUACAAAAAAUUUAUUUUUCGUCGUAAAAGAAAAUUAUAAUUUACUUACAAGUUGCAAAAAAUAUAUAUAUAUAUAUAUAUAUAUAUAUAUAUAUAUAUAUAUAUAUAUAUGACAUGAUUACACUAUGGCUGAUAUACUGUACGUGCACCAUUGCUUCUACUAUUAUUGCCCUAUCAACAUCUUUAUCGUCGCCGCCGAUGGUCGUCAAUCUACCUUUGCCACCACCGUUGCUUCGUUACUCCCACCGCGUACUAUCAUUGGCUCUAUCUUAGUUGCUGCUGUUGUAUUUUCAACAUUAUUAUUAUUGUCACUACCACUGCUACUACUGCAGAAACCAUCAUUGCUACUGUUGUCGCCGCUGCCACCACUGCUAUCGUCGCUGCAGCCAUUGCCACCACCACCACCGUUGCCAUCGCCACUGCCAUAGUCGCCAUCGCUACUACCGACACCAUAUACACGUUGUCGCAUGCAACCAUAUAAAUCAAUCCAUAUCUAAUAGCAAUUCCGAUUUUUAUUCUAAACCAAAUUGACCCCCACUCCAAUCCAUUUCAAGUUUUAUUCCCAUUUUGAUGCAAACUCAUCCUUAAAAUAAGACUUUCUUAUCUCAGAGUGGAGAGUAUCAACUAACUGUUCUAAGUAGUAUUAAUAUUAUGAGGUAUUUAUUCUCAUAUCUAAUCUAAAUUCUCUACUGACAUUUUACUAAUUUUUGUUUAAAAACUAGGAUCAUAAUAUUAAUAAUUGCAUCAUUUUAACUAUUAACAGAGAGAUUCAUUUAACGCAAUUAUAUAUCAUUCAUCUCGACUAAAUUCGAUCAGAUAGCGUGGAUCUAAUCUCGCAUUUUAGAAAAGAACUAUUUUAGAUAAGCAAACACCAUCCAAAGGUGAAUAUAUGAACUUGGUUUCAUUCAUUGUGACAUGAAAAGCACCACUUUCCCUUUCUUAAGUGCACUACACGCUUGUUAUGUUGAUGUCACAUUAUUAUCCAAAUAGGGGAAACUUAUCAUCUUUGUACUACUCCCUGUAAUUCAUGCAACUUUGACACUGAUUUGGUACAAAAUUUAGGCCAGGUUCAUUGUAGGGGAGCAAAAGGACACAAAGGAGACAAGAUAUGAAGUAUUUUGUGGACCCUUUUGUUCACUAAAAAGUAGGGGGAGUGGGUUAAGUUAACCACAAAGCUAACCAUUUUCGAAAAAGAACCUUUAUCUCUAGCUUAUACAAAAAAAAAAAGAAAAAAGAAAAAAGAAAACUUAAACAAUUAUUGUCCCAUUAAUAUAGAGUACCAUUGAUGCAAACAUAGGAACUAAUGCUAUAAAUAAUCCCAAAUAUUAUGUAAUAUUUAGUGGUUAAUAUUAGUUAGCAUGAUUAGAGAUAUUGUUACGUAAAUAAAAUACUAUUAUCAUAUCUCAAAGCACACGAACGAAACUCCACGAUCUUCGGUUGAAGCUGACUCGAAUCAUGUUCACACUUUUAGUGCUUCAAGAUUCAGCAUUUGCUACUAAGCAUUUUGAAAAUGAUCUGCUUUUGCUUUCAGUAACAGAUAACCGGCCAUCUGUAAUAAGCAUUUAGUAAAUAAAUCAUGAUAUAUAUACUACAGCAAAAAUCAAAGAUAAGAUUCUGCAAUCCUAAGACAGAAACUUGUAAUUUGAAACUUAAAACUUUAAUUAUGUAUAAAGAAAAUUCAUUAAAGAAAUUUUAGUGUAAUGCUUAUUUUUUCUAUAAGCACUACUAAAGUAACACUUUGUUUAACGACACGACACCCUAUAAUAAGGCGAAAGACUUUUAAGAUGUAUAUAGCUAACCAAAUUUAUAGUAGUGAGGGCUCCUAAGAUUCUAAGUUCAACAUCAACAAUCCCACCAAAUUGGCUCUAAAUUUUUUUUAAAAAAAUAAUAAUAUUAAUCAACUUAUCCCAUUAUUACUAUUUUUCUAUUAUUAUUCUCCUUGCUUUAUC